AGCGAACGCUGGCGGCAGGCCUAACACAUGCAAGUCGAACGGAUCCUUCGGGAUUAGUGGCGGACGGGUGAGUAACACGUGGGAACGUGCCCUUUGGUUCGGAACAACUCAGGGAAACUUGAGCUAAUACCGGAUGUGCCCUUCGGGGGAAAGAUUUAUCGCCAUUGGAGCGGCCCGCGUCUGAUUCGCUAGUUGGUGAGGUAACGGCCGACCAAGGCGACGAUCAGUAGCUGGUCUGAGAGGAUGAUCAGCCACACUGGGCCUGAGACACGGCCCAGACUCGUACGCGAGGGAGCAGUGGGGAAUCUUGCGCAAUGGGCGAAAGCCUGACGCAGCCAUGCCGGGUGAAUGAUGAAGGUCUUAGGAUUGUAAAAUUCUUUCAGCGGGGACGAUAAUGACGGUACCCGCAGAAGAAGCUCCGGCUAACUUCGUG
RNAcentral lists this ribosomal RNA (433 nucleotides) under uncultured bacterium. Its description in RNAcentral is "partial 16S ribosomal RNA". It matches the Rfam family "Bacterial small subunit ribosomal RNA", at positions 29 to 507 of the family's 1533-position model. The record is from RNAcentral.